GACGAACGCUGGCGGCGUGCUUAACACAUGCAAGUCGAACGGAAAGGCCCUGCUUUUGUGGGGUGCUCGAGUGGCGAACGGGUGAGUAACACGUGAGUAACCUGCCCUUGACUUUGGGAUAACUUCAGGAAACUGGGGCUAAUACCGGAUAGGAGCUCCUGCUGCAUGGUGGGGGUUGGAAAGUUUCGGCGGUUGGGGAUGGACUCGCGGCUUAUCAGCUUGUUGGUGGGGUAGUGGCUUACCAAGGCUUUGACGGGUAGCCGGCCUGAGAGUGUGACCGGCCACAUUGGGACUGAGAUACGGCCCAGACUCCUACGGGAGGCAGCAGUGGGGAAUAUUGCACAAUGGGCGGAAGCCUGAUGCAGCAACGCCGCGUGCGGGAUGACGGCCUUCGGGUUGUAAACCGCUUUCGCCUGUGACGAAGCGUGAGUGACGGUAAUGGGUAAAGAAGCACCGGCUAACUACGU
Molecule: ribosomal RNA, 467 nt
Filed under: uncultured bacterium
Lineage: Bacteria
Description: partial 16S ribosomal RNA
Rfam family: Bacterial small subunit ribosomal RNA
Source: RNAcentral